RNAcentral lists this non-coding RNA (100 nucleotides) under Neomoorella thermoacetica. Its description in RNAcentral is "Moorella thermoacetica TPP sequence". It matches the Rfam family "TPP riboswitch aptamer (THI element)". Rfam says of the family: Vitamin B(1) in its active form thiamin pyrophosphate (TPP) is an essential coenzyme that is synthesised by coupling of pyrimidine and thiazole moieties in bacteria. The previously detected thiamin-regulatory element, thi box was extended, resulting in a new, highly conserved RNA secondary structure, the THI element, which is widely distributed in eubacteria and also occurs in some archaea. Analysis of operon structures identified a large number of new candidate thiamin-regulated genes, mostly transporters, in various prokaryotic organisms. Lineage: Bacteria; Bacillati; Bacillota; Clostridia; Neomoorellales; Neomoorellaceae. The record is from RNAcentral.
AAACAUAAGCAGGGGUGCCGCAAGGCUGAGAGGGCUAAACGCCUAACCCUUUGAACCUGAUGUGGGUAAUGCCACCGUAGGGAAGUAAUGAUGAUUGGGU